GCCGACGUGGUGAAAUUGGUAUACACGUACGCUUGAGGUGCGUAUGCCGCAAGGUGUGGAGGUUCAAGUCCUCUCGUCGGCA
RNAcentral lists this transfer RNA (82 nucleotides) under Candidatus Woesebacteria bacterium. RNAcentral describes it as "tRNA-Leu". It matches the Rfam family "tRNA". Rfam says of the family: Transfer RNA (tRNA) molecules are approximately 80 nucleotides in length. Their secondary structure includes four short double-helical elements and three loops (D, anti-codon, and T loops). The record is from RNAcentral. RNAcentral also lists the same sequence under 5 other names. Lineage: Bacteria; Candidatus Woeseibacteriota.